GCUCCAUUGGCGUCAGCGGUAACGCACCACCUUGGUAAGGUGGGGAUCCCGGGUUCGAAUCCCGGAUGGAGCU
RNAcentral lists this transfer RNA (73 nucleotides) under archaeon. RNAcentral describes it as "tRNA-Thr". It matches the Rfam family "tRNA". Rfam says of the family: Transfer RNA (tRNA) molecules are approximately 80 nucleotides in length. Their secondary structure includes four short double-helical elements and three loops (D, anti-codon, and T loops). The record is from RNAcentral.